RNAcentral lists this ribosomal RNA (800 nucleotides) under uncultured bacterium. RNAcentral's name for it is "bacterial SSU rRNA". It matches the Rfam family "Bacterial small subunit ribosomal RNA", at positions 71 to 872 of the family's 1533-position model. The record is from RNAcentral.
ACAUGAGAGCUUGCUCUUGAUGACGAGUGGCGCACGGGUGCGUAACACGUAUGCAACCUACCCUUAACAGGGGAUAGCCCGGAGAAAUCCGGAUUAAUACCCCAUAGUAUCUUCAUUUCGCAUGUUAUGAAGAUUAAAGCUUCGGUGGUUAAGGAUGGGCAUGCGGAACAUUAGUUUGUUGGUGAGGUAACGGCUCACCAAGACUACGAUGUUUAGGGGUUCUGAGAGGAUGAUCCCCCACACUGGUACUGAGAUACGGACCAGACUCCUACGGGAGGCAGCAGUGAGGAAUAUUGGACAAUGGGCGCAAGCCUGAUCCAGCCAUGCCGCGUGCAGGAAGAAGGCCUUCUGGGUUGUAAACUGCUUUUAUAUAAGAAGAAAAAGUCCCUGCGGGGAAAACUGACGGUACUAUAUGAAUAAGCACCGGCUAACUCCGUGCCAGCAGCCGCGGUAAUACGGAGGGUGCAAGCGUUGUCCGGAUUCACUGGGUUUAAAGGGUGCGUAGGCGGAUUAAUAAGUCAGUGGUGAAAUCCUACAGCUUAACUGUAGAACUGCCAUUGAUACUGUUCGUCUUGAGUCCAGUCGAGGUGGAUGGAAUUUAUGAUGUAGCGGUGAAAUGCAUAGAUAUCAUAAAGAACACCAAUUGCGUAGGCAGUUCACUAGACUGGUACUGACGCUGAGGCACGAAAGCGUGGGGAGCGAACAGGAUUAGAUACCCUGGUAGUCCACGCUGUAAACGAUGAAUACUCGCUGUUGGCGAUAUACAGUCAGCGGCCAAGCGAAAGCGUUAAGUAUUCCAC